CAGCCGCCGCGGGAAAACGAAGGGUGCAAGCGUUACUCGGAAUUACUGGGCGUAAAGCGUGCGUAGGUGGUGGUUUAAGUCCGUUGUGAAAGCCCUGGGCCCAACCUGGGAAUUGCAGUGGAUACUGGGUCACUAGAGUGUGGUAGAGGAUAGUGGAAUUUCCGGUGUAGCAGUGAAAUGCGUAGAGAUCGGAAGGAACAUCUGUGGCGAAGGCGACUAUCUGGGCCAACACUGACACUGAGGCACGAAAGCGUGGGGAGCAAACAGGAUUAGAUACCCGAGUAGUCCCUGUCUCUUAUAC
This 301-nucleotide ribosomal RNA is filed under the name uncultured bacterium. RNAcentral's name for it is "partial 16S ribosomal RNA". It matches the Rfam family "Bacterial small subunit ribosomal RNA", at positions 509 to 807 of the family's 1533-position model. The record is from RNAcentral.